This 497-nucleotide ribosomal RNA is filed under the name uncultured bacterium. RNAcentral's name for it is "partial 16S ribosomal RNA". It matches the Rfam family "Bacterial small subunit ribosomal RNA", at positions 28 to 507 of the family's 1533-position model. The record is from RNAcentral.
GAUGAACGCUGGCGGCGUGCCUAAUACAUGCAAGUCGAGCGAACGGACGAGAAGCUUGCUUCUCUGAUGUUAGCGGCGGACGGGUGAGUAACACGUGGAUAACCUACCUAUAAGACUGGGAUAACUUCGGGAAACCGGAGCUAAUACCGGAUAAUAUUUUGAACCGCAUGGUUCAAAAGUGAAAGACGGUCUUGCUGGCACUUAUAGAUGGAUCCGCGCUGCAUUAGCUAGUUGGUAAGGUAACGGCUUACCAAGGCAACGAUGCAUAGCCGACCUGAGAGGGUGAUCGGCCACACUGGACCUGAGACACGGUCCAGGCUCCUACGGGAGGCAGCAGUAGGGAAUCUUCCGCAAUGGGCGAAAGCCUGACGGAGCAACGCCGCGUGAGUGAUGAAGGUCUUCGGAUCGUAAAACUCUGUUAUUAGGGAAGAACAUAUGUGUAAGUAACUGUGCACAUCUUGACGGUACCUAAUCAGAAAGCCACGGCUAACUACGUG